Molecule: long non-coding RNA, 2989 nt
Organism: Papaver somniferum (opium poppy)
Lineage: Eukaryota; Viridiplantae; Streptophyta; Magnoliopsida; Ranunculales; Papaveraceae
Exons: 9
Source: RefSeq, a predicted model, not a curated record
GUAAGAGGUCCAUCCAGAACUGUUAGAUUUGAAAAAACAUAUUUGUUUUUGUAAGAUAGAUGUUUAAAUUUACAGGUCGUGUUGGAUUUAAAUUCCAGAAACAAAUCUAGGAUUACCAAACUAUGGAAGAAACGAUGCCAAAUUUAGCGACAUAAAUAUAAAUGACUCGAGCAAAUGCCAUUGGAUUUGGGGUUUUGUUGUUUGUUUUUUGUGCGAUUUGGGGUUUUGUUGUCUAAUCUCUAUCCAUUGUUUGCUUUACAGGUAUCCUCAAAAUUGUAGUUGAUUGACACAACAUAUUUUACUGGCGUCGCUUCUUUUGCUCCUGGUGGCAGUUAAGAAAUUUAUUAUUUGAUGUUUUUACAAACAAUAUUGCUCUUCUUCUUCUUUUUUAAGUUUUCAUGAUUCAUUGAUUCAUCCCUUCUUCUUUUUGUUCUGGUCAAUUUUUGAGUUGACUUGACUGUAGAUUCAAACACUGCGCCAAAGUGUUCGUUUAUUCGUCUACGGGAUGAAAUGAACGAUGUUUUUUUUUUUUUUUUUUUUCAAUUAUUUCACUAAUGUUUAGGUUUUCACUAAUGGUUGUUGCUCCGAUUUUGUUUUUGUUACUUAAAUCAAUACUAAUUCAUGUGUUUUGAUGUGUAGAGAGGAAUUAGUUAGUAAGGAGACAUUUGAUGGAGUUGGUGUUUCUUCUUCUUCCCAUUUUCUUUUUCUGAGUUUCACUCCUUUUUAUCAGUUUGAUUUUAAUUUUGUUUUUUUUGAUCCGAAUUUAAUUUUGUUUGAUGAUUAUUUAUUUUUAUUUAGAAAACGCGUUACUUUUAUUACGAUCUAUGCUUGAUUUAGUGGAAUUUUUUAGAGACCAAGUUGUGGGUCUAUAUAUAAACGCUCCAGAGGUACUUGGUUUGCACGUUCAGUUGCAUCCGCGUAGAGAUACCUGACUACAGCUGCGUAUAGGAUACCAAGCUAGGAUCGCGCUUUCAAUGGUUGUGGAGGAAAAUCAGAAAUCAACGAGGAACCCUAAGCAAGUUGUUAAGACAUCUGCAAGUAUUUACCAGUUGAGAAAACUCAGUCCCGUGGUGCAGCUCAGAAGAUUGUCAAGGCCUUGGUUUUAGAAGUUCGAAAAUAACGGAGUGGGAAUUUGUCAACUGUGGGCGUUGCCUCAGUAUAUAAGUUCUGGAGAAAACCUAGCCCCAAUGUUUUCUCUGUUUUACCAUUUCAUCUUGAUCUUUCCUUUUCUUUGUCGCCUUUACCUUUUUUAUUUUUAUUUUAAUCAAUUCAAAGUUUAAGAUUUUGGUGCACAAUUUCGUUUUGAUUUGUUAUAGUUUCAUUGAUGUUUAGGUUGGCGUUUGCAGAAUAUGUAAACGAGUAAUGAUAAUGAACUCCAAUCUGCGACAAGUCGAUAUAUGUUUUGAGGUUCAAACUUAAUUCGUGGUAAUAUAGUGAGAUAAUCUGGAUGGGGUAUUCAGAGUCCUACAAGGGCCAAAAGCCAGCUAUGGUAGAAACAAAACCACAAUAUUACUUCAUGGCCUAUGCUAAGACAAGAAUCUACAGGCCUGCAUCCAACACACCCAAGACUGGCAAGUGGCAAAGCCAAGUAGUCUACCAAAAGGCUGAAACAUGUGUAUGGGUUGCAUGGGGUGCUCAUUAGCCUUACGAUCUACUGAAGGCUGAAACAUGAAUGGGGAAGGGAAGUGACCGUGUCACAACUCAAGGAGCAUCUGAUCAAGCAAAAUGGAAUCGACUCUCUUAAUUCUAAAAUCACAAAAAUUAUAUGAUGGGCAGGGAAUAGUGAACUGCUAACAAAAUGCUUGCAUGGUUGAUGGCAAUAGGUUUUCAAUAUGCAAAGGUUUUUAAAACAGAACUUCUGAUAAUCACAAUUUUCCGUAUAUCAUUCAUCUUAUAUUUAUGUUAUAGGUGAAGUAUUGUGUCGAGAUGGUUGACCCAAAUUUAAGUGAAUGGGAUCAUAAUGAUUAAGAAAAUUUAAGUGAAUGGGAUCAUAAUGAUUAAGCAAUUGACAAGAAGUAUAUAUGGAUACUAAUGCUACUCAAGUGGAUCCUCUGCACACCGGAAACACAAGGAGUUACUGUUGCAUAUUAUAAGACCCAUGAAUUCCCAGCGUCUUUUACCCAAACAAUUGGCUGCCAGAGCAGCAAACACAAACGGAUGCAAGGUGGUUUUGUUUUGGAAAAUGAUAGAGUAACCAAUACUUCAAUCCAAUUGAGAACCAUUCUGCACUUACCUCUCAAGUAUUAGGACAAAGGACAAGUUCUAGGUAGACCCUUAGCGUUCCAUAUAUCUGGAAUUUAGCGGACGAUUCCAUAGGCGAGAAAAAUGAUGAUUGUAAUAUUUUGAUGAAGCAUAUGGUUUUUUUCGAGGAAGCAAAAGCUAAGCCGUACAAAGGUUUAUGCAGGAUAAGCAGGAAUGGUUGUGCAACCAUUUCUUUUCACCUAAAUUUAAGCUGAGUUCAAAGAACGAUGGGUUGGUAAUAACGGGGAAUAAAUUUUACCAAAUUGCACAGACCAAGUUGUGGGUCUAUAUAUAAACGCUCCAGAGGUACUUGGUUUGCACGUUCAGUUGCAUCCGCGUAGAGAUACCUGACUACAGCUGCGUAUAGGAUACCAAGCUAGGAUCGCGCUUUCAAUGGUUGUGGAGGAAAAUCAGAAAUCAACGACGAACCCUAAGCAAGGUUUGUAAGCUAGCCAAAUUACCACUGUAAUGUUGAUUGUUUUUUUUCUUCUAAAUUUUGUUUCAUGAUUCUGGUGUUGUCGGAGUAUGGGAUAUUUAAUCUACCCUUUGCUUUUUGUGGGGUUUAAUUGUGCGGUAGGAAGUGCUUCGCAUGAAAACAAACUGUAAGUGAACAGUUUGGAACUGUGUUUGGAUCUCCCUAAUAAGUUUUUCCUUUUGUUUAGUAUCUCUAGCAGAAUUUCAUGGUUUUCUCAUACAAUGGUGUAAGUGCUGGUAUAUAUUUGUUUCAAUUGGUCUUGGAGAUUCUGAG